ACCCCUUGUGGUAAGGGACUUUUCAGAGUCACAUGUGACUUGUUCCUUAGCAGUUGAACUAGGGGAAGAUGACCAGGAUGGAAAUUGUGACAGUGAGAGAAGUUAGAACACUGGGCAGAGAGUCAGAAUAGCAGGGGAAAUGGGAAACAGAGUAGGUGCUCAGGGUUUUGGGAGGGAGCAGAUUGUCUUUGUUUCAGGCAGAAAAGUUUUGUCUUUUGGUUGAAUAAGGAAGUCAGAAGAGUGGUCUGUGGGGUAGGUUUAUUUAGAACAGAAAUCAAAGGACGACUUCUCUGAGAGAAAGAAGUAGCAUCUGCAAGGGUCAUGCUGUUUCUGCUACUCCCCUUGCUCGCUGCUCUCUUCCCAGGAGGUGACAGUGGGUUUGAGGAGUCUAUCUCGUACCAUCUCAUGCAAACCUCAUCCUUUCACAACCACUCCUGGGUACAUGUGGGCUCAGGCUGGUUGGGGGAGCUGCAGACUCACAGAUGGAACAGCAGCUCUAAUACCAUCAUUUACCUGUAUCCCUGGUCCAGGGGCAACUUCAGUAACAAGGAGUUGAUGGAUGUGGAAAGGUUGUUCCAGUUAUACUUCAAUGAACAUCAGGACUUUUAUAUUUCUCAAUUAAUGUUUAAAGAUCCCUUUGAUCUGCAGGUGACCGAAGGCUGUGAACUGCAUUCUGGGAAGGGCUUCCUAGGCUUCAAGCAGGUAGCUAUCCAAGGACAUGACUUCAUGAGCUUCCAGAAUGAAACAUUCUUACCAUCUCCAAAGGGUGGAGAAAAGGCCCAGAAAGCCUGCAAACUGCUCAAUUUCAAUGAAGCCUACACACAGAGGUUAUAUAGGCUCCUCAGUGACACCUGCCCGCGUUUCACCUUGGGUCUUCUAGAAGCAGGGAAGGCUCAUCUCCAGCAACUAGUGAAGCCUGAGGCCUGGCUGUCCAGAGGUCACAGCCCUGGGCCUGGCCAUCUGCUGCUGGUGUGUCAUGUGUCUGGAUUCUACCCAAAGCCCGUGUGGGUGAUGUGGAUGCGGGGUGACCAGGAGCAACGGGGCACUCAGAGAGGUGACAUCCUGCCUAAUGCAGCACCUCAGAGUGCCCUGGGCUUGAUCCUCUUUGCCAUGAUAGUGGCCCUGGCUCUUCUGACAGGUCUUGGAUUUUGGUUUAGAAAACGCUGGACACACUGUGAAGCUCCCUGAAGUUCUGGCCCUCUGAAGUGAGGACCCAGUCUACAUCUGAACACCACAGGGAUUUGUUGUUCUGACCUGGCUUCUGUGGCUUCAACUCUGAAUGGAACAGGAUGUUAGCAGUGUCAGCCUGGAUGAAUAAAAUGGAUCAUCAGAUGUAUUUCAGCUGUCACAUCCUCCAGGGGUCCUUCCUUGAUCCACAGUGGGAAGCCAUCUCCCCUCCAUUUGAGCAUCCCCAGAUUUCAACUGUGCCCCUUACUGCCUAGCAUCUGUGGCAGGUGUGUAGGUUCAUUUCUUCUUUUAAAAGUUUGAGAGCAAUGCACAUGCUUUUUGAGUGUCUGUAUCCCUGGUGAAAUGUUUGGCCUGAAUAAAACAUGCUAUCAAAAUAAAACCUGUGUUGAUUACGUAA
Marmota monax (woodchuck) is the source of this 1585-nucleotide RNA transcript. It is a transcript of the gene named T-cell surface glycoprotein CD1a-like, with no coding region annotated. The transcript is spliced from 7 exons. The record is from RefSeq and is a predicted model, not a curated record. Lineage: Eukaryota; Metazoa; Chordata; Mammalia; Rodentia; Sciuridae.